This 438-nucleotide ribosomal RNA is filed under the name uncultured bacterium. Its description in RNAcentral is "partial 16S ribosomal RNA". It matches the Rfam family "Bacterial small subunit ribosomal RNA", at positions 339 to 795 of the family's 1533-position model. The record is from RNAcentral.
CUACGGGUGGCUCCGUGAGGAAUAUUGCACAAUGGGGGGAACCCUGAUGCAGCAACGCCGCGUGGAGGAUGACGCAUUUCGGUGUGUAAACUCCUUUUAUAUGUCAAGAAAAUGACGGUAGCAUAUGAAUAAGCACCGGCUAACUCCGUGCCAGCAGCCGCGGUAAUACGGAGGGUGCAAGCGUUACUCGGAAUCACUGGGCGUAAAGGACGCGUAGGCGGGCUUGUAAGUCAGGUGUGGAAUCCUACAGCUUAACUGUAGAACUGCACUUGAAACUACGAGCCUAGAGUAUGGGAGGGGCAGAUGGAAUUAGUGGUGUAGGGGUAAAAUCCGUAGAUAUCACUAGGAAUACCUAAAGCGAAGGCGAUCUGCUGGAACAUAACUGACGCUAAGGCGUGAAAGCGUGGGGAGCAAACAGGAUUAGAUACCCGCGUAGUC